Spinacia oleracea (spinach) is the source of this 969-nucleotide long non-coding RNA. RefSeq lists it as uncharacterized. The transcript has 4 exons. The record is from RefSeq and is a predicted model, not a curated record. NCBI's taxonomy places the organism in Eukaryota, Viridiplantae, Streptophyta, Magnoliopsida, Caryophyllales, Amaranthaceae.
UGGUUAGGGCACCUAGAAAGCUCCGUCAAAUACGGAGAAUCCAAGGCUCUCCCCUCUCUCUCUUCUCCUAUCUCCUCCUAUUUUGUUUCUCUCUUCUCCUAUCUCUGAGUUUCUGGUUUCUCUUUCUUCUCUCUCCUCCUAUUUCCUUUCUCUCUCCUCUUAUUUGAGGAUAAAAAAUGGCGAUUAUUCACUCCUCUCUCUCACCUCUUUUCUAACUCAUAGUAAAAUCGACAAAUCGUCAAAACCAAAUUCCAAAGUACACAUUCCAGAUCUUUUUGUUUGGUUUUAAUUUAUGGUCUUAUUUUUGUUGUUUGAAUUUUUUGAGGUUUUGGCAUGUGAUAACUCGUUGAAAAUCUCUAUUCACUAUGUCAAGGAACUGGCCGCCGACUUCUCCUCCAAUCUCUCAUUCCACCAAAAAUAACUUCAAAGAAGCUUCUGGAUGCAUUGGUUGAGGCAUCUGUGAGAGAUUUUUGUGCUUUACCUGACGAAGGAGACAUAAUCGAUGCAGUCUCUCUAAAAACGUUGGAGUUGUUGCGCUUUGCUUUGUGUUUGGUUAAUCUUUGUGACUAUUAUGAUCCUUUUUCGCUAUUCCGGUACUCCAGGCUCCGCUUCUUUUAAUCGUUAACCUACCUAAACGGAUUGAUGGCAGAUUGAUGGCAGUUUGAUGACACUACAACAUAUAUUAAGUUGAAGAACUACUUUGUGGUGGAAAAUGAUCGGAGGAUUUGGGAGAAUAAUCAUACGUGUAUCGGCGCAACUUCAAGAAAAACGGUGAUGGAGUUUUUGGAAUGAACUGCAAAUUCAUUUGGGAUUUUUUCUUCUUCUUAGAAGUGUGUAGAUUGAUUUGGGAAAUUUUUUCUUCUAAGAAGUGUGUAGUGUAGACUUUUAUUUUUGUUACGGAGUCUGUCAAUUUUAUUAAUUUGUCAAUUGUAAUAAUUUGUAAUAAUAUUAUUGGUUUUUUUUCCUGUA